Molecule: ribosomal RNA, 449 nt
Filed under: uncultured bacterium
Lineage: Bacteria
Description: partial 16S ribosomal RNA
Rfam family: Bacterial small subunit ribosomal RNA
Source: RNAcentral
AUUGAACGCUGGCGGAAUGCUUUACACAUGCAAGUCGAGCGAGGUAGCAAUACCUAGCGGCGGACGGGUGAGUAACGCGUGGGAACGUGCCCCUUGGUACGGAAUAGCCCCGGGAAACUGGGAGUAAUACCGUAUGAGCUCUACGGAGGAAAGAUUUAUCGCCAAGGGAUCGGCCGGCGUUGGAUUAGGUAGUUGGUGGGGUAAUGGCCUACCAAGCCGACGAUCCAUAGCUGGUUUGAGAGGAUGAUCAGCCACACUGGGACUGAGACACGGCCCAGACUCCUACGGGAGGCAGCAGUGGGGAAUCUUAGACAAUGGGCGCAAGCCUGAUCUAGCCAUGCCGCGUGAGCGAUGAAGGCCUUAGGGUUGUAAAGCUCUUUCAGCUGGGAAGAUAAUGACUGUACCAGCAGAAGAAGCCCCGGCUAACUCCGUGCCAGCAGCCGCCGUAA